This 241-nucleotide long non-coding RNA is filed under the name Vigna radiata. RNAcentral describes it as "long non-coding RNA (VRAD_LNC001166)". Lineage: Eukaryota; Viridiplantae; Streptophyta; Magnoliopsida; Fabales; Fabaceae. The record is from RNAcentral.
GUGGAGAUUGAGAAAGGUAAACAAAUGAGAAAGGGAUUUAAGAAUGGUUUGAAUAAGGAAAGUAGGACCCAAAUGGGGUAUAAAUAGGACCAAGGAGGCUCCCCAACGUUCAGAUUUUGAAGAAAUGACCGUUUAUAGUCGUUUUGAGACGUUGGCAACGGCUAUAAUCAUCAAUGCAGCGCAGAAAUCCUUUUAAAAAACUGUCUGGAGCACUUUUAAUCGAUUAAAGUUAAAUUUAAUC